GUUUACCUUUUGGAGGAACUGCCGAAUUUUUUUUUAAAGCGAAGGCACCGUUUUAGUCCCGCCGACAGUGUAUGAGGGUUUCCAUUUCUCCAUGUCCUCACCACUGGUUACUGUCUGAUUAUCGGAUUCUAGUCACCCGAACAGAGUAAGACCACAAAGAAGGGAUGGUGGGCUCCUCAGCUUCUCGUAAAGACAUCCAACUGUCCCCCUGCCCAAAUGGCUCUGAGGACAAACCAUGCGGAGAGCACAGUCAGCACAUUUUCAACACCCGGGGUGUAACCGGAGACACGAGCUGGAUCCCACAGGAAGAGCUGAGGCAGAAAGGCUCCUGGAGGCCGUCGUGGAGGCGACUGCUGAGUUGACUACUGGAACAUCAGCUCUCUG
This is a long non-coding RNA of Mirounga angustirostris (Northern elephant seal), 384 nucleotides long. RefSeq lists it as uncharacterized. Lineage: Eukaryota; Metazoa; Chordata; Mammalia; Carnivora; Phocidae. The transcript has 3 exons. The record is from RefSeq and is a predicted model, not a curated record.